This 461-nucleotide ribosomal RNA is filed under the name uncultured bacterium. Its description in RNAcentral is "bacterial SSU rRNA". It matches the Rfam family "Bacterial small subunit ribosomal RNA", at positions 340 to 789 of the family's 1533-position model. The record is from RNAcentral.
UACGGAAGGUAGCAGUGGGGAAUAUUGCACAAUGGGCGAAAGCCUGAUGCAGCUAUGCCGCGUGUAUGAAGAAGGCCUUAGGGUUGUAAAGUACUUUCAUCGGGGAGGAAAAAACAAAACUAAUAAUUUUAUUUCUUGACGUUACCCGAAAAAGAAGCACCGGCUAACUCCGUGCCAGCAGCCGCGGUAAUACGGAGGGUGCUAGCGUUAAUCAGAAUUACUGGGCGUAAAGAGCACGUAGGUGGUUUUUUUAAAGUCAGAUGUGAAAUCCCUGGGCUUAACCUAGGAACUGCAUUUUGAAACUGAAAUACUAGAGUAUCGUAGAGGGAGGUAGAAUUCUAGGUGUAGCGGUGAAAUGCGUAGAUAUCUGGAGGAAUACCUGUGGCGAAAGCGGCCUCCUAAACGAAUACUGACACUGAGGGUGCGAAAGCGUGGGGAGCAAACAGGGAUUAGAUACCCGU